Molecule: small nucleolar RNA, 138 nt
Organism: Passer domesticus (house sparrow)
Lineage: Eukaryota; Metazoa; Chordata; Aves; Passeriformes; Passeridae
Source: RefSeq, a predicted model, not a curated record
UUGCAAACUCGAUCACUAGCUCUGCAUGAUGUUGCAGAAGCAAGGGGAACAGGUUUGCUAAAAUAAACAUGGUCAUAGAACGUGUAUUACCCUCAGAAAUAUAAUUGCUUGGGCUGUUAAUUCUAUGUCAGGAUAAGG